RNAcentral lists this ribosomal RNA (253 nucleotides) under uncultured bacterium. Its description in RNAcentral is "partial 16S ribosomal RNA". It matches the Rfam family "Bacterial small subunit ribosomal RNA", at positions 524 to 776 of the family's 1533-position model. The record is from RNAcentral.
UACGAACCGUGCAAACGUUGUUCGGAAUCACUGGGCUUAAAGGGCGCGUAGGCGGGCCAGCCAGUCUGUGGUGAAAGCCUCCAGCUUAACUGGAGAAGUGCCGUGGAUACUGCUGGCCUCGAGGAGGAUAGGGGCAUCUGGAACGGUCGGUGGAGCGGUGAAAUGCGUUGAUAUCGACCGGAACUCCGGUGGCGAAGGCGAGGUGCUGGGUCCUUUCUGACGCUGAUGCGCGAAAGCCAGGGGAGCAAACGGG